UACGUAGGGUGCGAGCGUUUGUCCGGAAUUAUUGGGCGUAAAGGGCUCGUAGGCGGUUUGUCGCGUCGGGAGUGAAAACCUCGGGCUUAACUCGGGGCUUGCUUUCGAUACGGGCAGACUAGAGGUAUGCAGGGGAGAACGGAAUUCCUGGUGUAGCGGUGAAAUGCGCAGAUAUCAGGAGGAACACCGGUGGCGAAGGCGGGUCUCUGGGCCGAUACUGACGCUGAGGAGCGAAAGCGUGGGGAGCGAACAGG
Molecule: ribosomal RNA, 254 nt
Filed under: uncultured bacterium
Lineage: Bacteria
Description: partial 16S ribosomal RNA
Rfam family: Bacterial small subunit ribosomal RNA
Source: RNAcentral